CACGUAGGGCGCAAGCGUUGUCCGGAAUUAUUGGGCGUAAAGAGCUCGUAGGUGGUUUGUUACGUCCGCUGUGAAAUCCUAGGGCUUAACCCUGGGCUUGCAGUGGAUACGGGCAGACUAGAGGUAGGUAGGGGAGAAUGGAAUUCCUGGUGUAGCGGUGAAAUGCGCAGAUAUCAGGAGGAACACCGGUGGCGAAGGCGGUUCUCUGGGCCUUACCUGACACUGAGGAGCGAAAAGCGUGGGGGAGCGAACAGG
RNAcentral lists this ribosomal RNA (255 nucleotides) under uncultured bacterium. Its description in RNAcentral is "partial 16S ribosomal RNA". It matches the Rfam family "Bacterial small subunit ribosomal RNA", at positions 524 to 776 of the family's 1533-position model. The record is from RNAcentral.